Drosophila mojavensis is the source of this 347-nucleotide long non-coding RNA. RefSeq lists it as uncharacterized. NCBI's taxonomy places the organism in Eukaryota, Metazoa, Arthropoda, Insecta, Diptera, Drosophilidae. The record is from RefSeq and is a predicted model, not a curated record. The transcript has 2 exons.
AUUUUUGAAUAUACAUUUUUACAUAUUUGUGUUUGGAAUUGAUACAUAUAUGGAAAUGGAAACUUAAGGCUAAAAUACACAUAACUCAAUUCGCAGGGCAGCAAUGCUUGAAUCAAAAUCUAUGCAGCUCAAUAAGAAGACAUAUAAAAUAUGAGAUAUAUGACAAUUUUCGCUUUGUAUAAUGUUACAAAAUUCCUAAACAACGACAUAUGGCAAAAUUUAUUCAUUAUUUGUUUGAUGACCACCAAAAAUAAAAUUAAUUUAAAGAUUUGUUUUAGGAAACUACAAUAAAUGUCUUAUCUGUAUAUAAUAUUAAAUUUAACGCGAAGGCCUCAGUACCCGGUGAA